CCUACGGGGCGCAGCAGUGGGGAAUAUUGGACAAUGGGGGGAACCCUGAUCCAGCCAUGCCGCGUGUGUGAAGAAGGCCCUCGGGUUGUAAAGCACUUUCAGUGAGGAAGAACGCCUGGUGGUUAAUACCCAUCAGGAAAGACAUCACUCACAGAAGAAGCACCGGCUAACUCCGUGCCAGCAGCCGCGGUAAUACGGAGGGUGCGAGCGUUAAUCGGAAUUACUGGGCGUAAAGCGCGCGUAGGUGGCUUGAUAAGCCGGUUGUGAAAGCCCCGGGCUCAACCUGGGAACGGCAUCCGGAACUGUCAAGCUAGAGUGCAGGAGAGGAAGGAAGAAUUCCCGGUGUAGCGGUGAAAUGCGUAGAGAUCGGGAGGAAUACCAGUGGCGAAGGCGGCCUUCUGGACUGACACUGACACUGAGGUGCGAAAGCGUGGGUAGCAAACAGGAUUAGAUACCCCAGUAGUC
This 465-nucleotide ribosomal RNA is filed under the name Vreelandella stevensii. RNAcentral describes it as "partial 16S ribosomal RNA". It matches the Rfam family "Bacterial small subunit ribosomal RNA", at positions 338 to 795 of the family's 1533-position model. The record is from RNAcentral. Lineage: Bacteria; Pseudomonadati; Pseudomonadota; Gammaproteobacteria; Oceanospirillales; Halomonadaceae.